UUGCUAGGGGAGCCGAAAGGCUGAGAAAGAAUUAUAUCUUGACCCUUGGAACCUGAUAUGGUUAAUACCAGCGUAGGGAAGCAAAAUUUUAA
RNAcentral lists this non-coding RNA (92 nucleotides) under human gut metagenome. Its description in RNAcentral is "TPP riboswitch (THI element)". It matches the Rfam family "TPP riboswitch aptamer (THI element)". Rfam says of the family: Vitamin B(1) in its active form thiamin pyrophosphate (TPP) is an essential coenzyme that is synthesised by coupling of pyrimidine and thiazole moieties in bacteria. The previously detected thiamin-regulatory element, thi box was extended, resulting in a new, highly conserved RNA secondary structure, the THI element, which is widely distributed in eubacteria and also occurs in some archaea. Analysis of operon structures identified a large number of new candidate thiamin-regulated genes, mostly transporters, in various prokaryotic organisms. The record is from RNAcentral.